Molecule: ribosomal RNA, 418 nt
Filed under: uncultured eukaryote
Lineage: Eukaryota
Description: bacterial SSU rRNA
Rfam family: Eukaryotic small subunit ribosomal RNA
Source: RNAcentral
CAAUAGCGUAUAUUAAAGUUGUUGCGGUUAAAAAGCUCGUAGUUGGAUUUCUGCCGAGGACGACCGGUCCGCCCUCUGGGUGAGUAUCUGGCUCGGCCUGGGCAUCUUCUUGGAGAACGUAGCUGCACUUGACUGUGUGGUGCGGUAUCCAGGACUUUUACUUUGAGGAAAUUAGAGUGUUUCAAGCAGGCACACGCCUUGAAUACAUUAGCAUGGAAUAAUAGCAUAGGACCGCGGUCUGAAGCUGUUGGUUUUUGGACCGGGUAAUAAAAAUAGGGGAUAGUUGGGGUAGGUUCGUUAUUAAUACUGUCAGAGGUGAAAUUCUUGGAUUUUUUAAAGACGGACUACUGCGAAAGCAUCUGCCCAGGAUGUUUUUAUUGAUCAAGAACGAAAGUUAGGGGAUCGAAGACGAUCAGAU